RNAcentral lists this ribosomal RNA (253 nucleotides) under uncultured bacterium. Its description in RNAcentral is "partial 16S ribosomal RNA". It matches the Rfam family "Bacterial small subunit ribosomal RNA", at positions 524 to 776 of the family's 1533-position model. The record is from RNAcentral.
UACGUAGGUGGCAAGCGUUGUCCGGAUUUAUUGGGUUUAAAGGGUGCGUAGGCGGCUUUGUAAGUCAGUGGUGAAAUAUCGCAGCUUAACUGUGAGGGUGCCAUUGAUACUGCAGAGCUUGAGUACAGAUGAGGUAGGCGGAAUUGACGGUGUAGCGGUGAAAUGCUUAGAUAUCGUCAAGAACACCUAUAGCGAAGGCAGCUUACUAGGCUGUAACUGACGCUGAGGCACGAAAGUGUGGGGAGCAAACAGG